This 442-nucleotide ribosomal RNA is filed under the name uncultured bacterium. Its description in RNAcentral is "partial 16S ribosomal RNA". It matches the Rfam family "Bacterial small subunit ribosomal RNA", at positions 339 to 795 of the family's 1533-position model. The record is from RNAcentral.
CUACGGGUUGCUGCAGUGGGGAAUAUUGGACAAUGGGCCACAAGCCUGAUCCAGCAAUUCUGUGUGCACGAUGAAGGUCUUCGGAUUGUAAAGUGCUUUCAGUUGGGAAGAAGAAAGUGACGGUACCAACAGAAGAAGCGACGGCUAAAUACGUGCCAGCAGCCGCGGUAAUACGUAUGUCGCAAGCGUUAUCCGGAUUUAUUGGGCGUAAAGCGCGUCUAGGCGGAAAAAUAAGUCUGAUGUUAAAAUGCGGGGCUCAACUCCGUAUUGCGUUGGAAACUGUUUUUCUAGAGUACUGGAGAGGUGGGCGGAACUACAAGUGUAGAGGUGAAAUUCGUAGAUAUUUGUAGGAAUGCCGAUGGAGAAGUCAGCUCACUGGACAGAUACUGACGCUAAAGCGCGAAAGCGUGGGGAGCAAACAGGAUUAGAUACCCGUGUAGUC